CAGUCGCCACGGUAAAACGUAGGUGGCAAGCGUUGUCCGGAAUUAUUGGGCGUAAAGGGCUCGCAGGCGGUUUCUUAAGUCUGAUGUGAAAGCCCCCGGCUCAACCGGGGAGGGUCAUUGGAAACUGGGAAACUUGAGUGCAGAAGAGGAGAGUAGAAUUCCAGGUGUAGCGGUGAAAUGCGUAGAGAUGUGGAGGAACACCAGUGGCGAAGGCGACUCUCUGGUCUGUAACUGACGCUGAGGAGCGAAAGCGUGGGGAGCGAACAGGAUUAGAUACCCCAGUAGUCCCUGUCUCUUAUAC
RNAcentral lists this ribosomal RNA (301 nucleotides) under uncultured bacterium. RNAcentral describes it as "partial 16S ribosomal RNA". It matches the Rfam family "Bacterial small subunit ribosomal RNA", at positions 509 to 807 of the family's 1533-position model. The record is from RNAcentral.